RNAcentral lists this ribosomal RNA (563 nucleotides) under Cotylidia sp. MB5. RNAcentral describes it as "SSU rRNA". It matches the Rfam family "Bacterial small subunit ribosomal RNA", at positions 358 to 952 of the family's 1533-position model. The record is from RNAcentral. Lineage: Eukaryota; Fungi; Basidiomycota; Agaricomycetes; Hymenochaetales.
AGAAUAUUAGUCAAUGCUCGCAAGAGUGAACUAGCUAACUGAAAUCAUGAGUGUGUCACUCGUGAUAAGGUAAGGGAAAAACAAUGAUGUCACCUUACUAUAAGUGUCGUCCAAAUUCUGGUGCCAGAAGACUCGGUAAGGCCAGAGACGCGAACGUAAGUGGUCCUAAACAGGCGUAAAGGGUUUGUAGGCAGCUUUAAUGAACUUAUUUUUAAAAUUACUCUGAGAAAAAUUUAAGCCAAAUUGAAGCUAGAAUCUUGAAGAGGAAGAAGUCCAUAGAAUAGAAUGUGUAGGAAUGAAAUCCAUAAAUACUUUCUAGAAUGCUAACGGCGAAGGCAUUCUUCCAAUAAUGAUUGACGCUGAGAAACUAAGGGGAGGAUAGGAAACAGGAUUAGAGACCCUGGUACCCCUCUCUGUCAACGAUGAAUGGUGGUUACUAGAUAGUAUAUCUAGAGACGAUGCUAACGCGAAAACCAUUCCGCCUUGUGAGUACGACUGCAAAGUUGAAAACAAAAAAAUUAGUCGGUUUCGGAGCAAACGAAGUGAAGCAUGUUAUUUAAUUC